This 405-nucleotide ribosomal RNA is filed under the name Cyclops strenuus. RNAcentral describes it as "partial 12S ribosomal RNA". The record is from RNAcentral. Lineage: Eukaryota; Metazoa; Arthropoda; Copepoda; Cyclopoida; Cyclopidae.
UAUGAGCCUGAUUUAUAACUUCUUCGACGAUUUUGAGGCCUACUAUUAAAUCCAUGUUUAAUUAAAGUUAAAUUGACUGCAUUUCAGUCUCCCUAGUUUAAACUAAAUGUCAUUUGAUUAAAAUUUAAAUGUUAAUUUAUUUCUUAACAACCACACACAAACUAAAAACUAAUAAAUAAAAUUGAGGGUUAUCAAUUUAAGGACCAAAAUUCUCUAAUUAGAAUAAAUCACUGCCAUACAAUUUAGGUUUAAAUUUGAAUACCUAGUUAGUAAACAUACUCGGGUUCUAGUCCGGUUUUGUGGGGUAAUUAAUUUUUAUUUCUAAUAAACUUUUACUGACAGCUUGCAACAGAUUUUUAAAAGUUUAUUUAAAGUAACAAUCCGAUAAAAUUUUACUCUCAAGUA